CUCAGGAUGAACGCUGGCGGCGUGCCUAAUACAUGCAAGUCGAGCGAACAGACGAGGAGCUUGCUCCUCUGACGUUAGCGGCGGACGGGUGAGUAACACGUGGAUAACCUACCUAUAAGACUGGGAUAACUUCGGGAAACCGGAGCUAAUACCGGAUAAUAUAUUGAACCGCAUGGUUCAAUAGUGAAAGACGGUUUUGCUGUCACUUAUAGAUGGAUCCGCGCCGCAUUAGCUAGUUGGUAAGGUAACGGCUUACCAAGGCAACGAUGCGUAGCCGACCUGAGAGGGUGAUCGGCCACACUGGAACUGAGACACGGUCCAGACUCCUACGGGAGGCAGCAGUAGGGAAUCUUCCGCAAUGGGCGAAAGCCUGACGGAGCAACGCCGCGUGAGUGAUGAAGGUCUUCGGAUCGUAAAACUCUGUUAUUAGGGAAGAACAAAUGUGUAAGUAACUAUGCACGUCUUGACGGUACCUAAUCAGAAAGCCACGGCUAACUACGUGCCAGCAGCCGCGGUAAUACGUAGGUGGCAAGCGUUAUCCGGAAUUAUUGGGCGUAAAGCGCGCGUAGGCGGUUUUUUAAGUCUGAUGUGAAAGCCCACGGCUCAACCGUGGAGGGUCAUUGGAAACUGGAAAACUUGAGUGCAGAAGAGGAAAGUGGAAUUCCAUGUGUAGCGGUGAAAUGCGCAGAGAUAUGGAGGAACACCAGUGGCGAAGGCGACUUUCUGGUCUGUAACUG
This 737-nucleotide ribosomal RNA is filed under the name Staphylococcus sp. SMCC G936. Its description in RNAcentral is "bacterial SSU rRNA". It matches the Rfam family "Bacterial small subunit ribosomal RNA", at positions 23 to 742 of the family's 1533-position model. Lineage: Bacteria; Bacillati; Bacillota; Bacilli; Caryophanales; Staphylococcaceae. The record is from RNAcentral.